ACAUGUCCAAUCCAGCAGCGAUUCCUGCUGGCCCUAAUGUCCCCCAGUUUCCAUCACCUCCCUGCUUUUAUCCUUGUCCAAGCCACCAUCCAAUCCCACCUGCGCUAGAGCAAUGGCCUAACUGGUCUCCGACCACACCUCGCCUCCUCACUUCCGGGAAAAGGACCUACAUAGGCGGCUCUCUGUCACCCUCUGCCCUGUCUUCCAGUACUCUCCUCUCCGCUCACUCUCUCCAGCCUCACUGCCCUCCUUGACGUUUCUUUCACUUUCCAGCUGAAUUCCUCCUUCGAGACCUUUGCUGUUCCCUUUGCUUAAACAAAUUUCCUGAGAUACUUACACGGUUCAUCCCUCACCUCCCUGCCUUUACUCAACUGUCAUUUUCUCAACGUGGCCUUCUUUGACCACCUUAAACUGCGUUCUUCUCCAAACAUACAAUAUAUAUUUUACUUAUCUGCUUUGUGAACCUCCCUUCAGCAUUACCUAACGUCCGUGAAGGGGUGCUCGGGGUAGGCCGGCCCAGCUCUUGGAUGGCAGAGUCCCGACGGGGCCUGGCACAGGACAAACGAAUGCAGAGCCUACUGACGGGACCCUGAAGGUCGGCCGGGCCCUCGGGCCUACAAGUCAUCAGCCACGGGCAAGCAGACUCGCCCUGCCACGGUGUCAGCCCAGCUGCCUCAUGUGGGAUGCAGAGAAGUUAUCCUCUCCAACUUCAAGAUGACAAAGAGCUGUUAACUCACACCCCUGCCAUCCACCCAAGGGCACAUGACAUCCUCAGACCUUCCAGAACCUCAGGAAUGGGGAAGGACCUGAAAACCUGAGCUCUUGCAAUAAAUGCCUCUGUGUCCACCUCACCUGUGCCAGGGGCAUCCACAAGAGCAGGACCUGGCCAGGUGGGUAAGGGGGUGUAGUUGCUGUGCCUUCACCCAGCAUCCUGAGACGCAGGUACUACUCUUAUGUCCAUUUGACAGAUGAGCUGGGGGCUCCUCUCACCCAGAUCACUGCAGAAACCUCUGACUGGUUUUCCUGCUCUGUGUCCCCAAGCAGAAGACCUUUCUAACCUGUGCCCAGAUCUUGUCCCUCCUGUGGUCAAUGCCCUCCACUGUCUGCUGGGUGCUCCUCGUAUCCUUCAAAGUUAGUGCCUGAGGUGUACAGUGGCCUACACAGGCCCUGCAGGAACGGCUCCCAACCACCUUCUCCUCCUCACUUCUCCAAUCCUCCAGCUCACCAGUGCAUUCUCAGUGCCCCAACCCAUUCCUCCCUGUCACCUCAUCCUCUUCAGUUCUUUGCUCAAAUGUCCAGUGUCUCAGAAAAAACUUUUUUUAACAGCAAAUGUUUAUUAUUUCACAGUUUUUGUGGGGCAGGAAUCUGGGCAUGACUUCCUCCAGGUCAGGGUCUCUCACAGGCUGCAAACUAAGAGUCAGCUGGGGCUGUGGUCUCAUCAGCAGGCUUGACUGGGAAAGGAUCUGUCUCUAAGCUCACUCAGUAGAUGUUGGCAAUACUCAGUUCCCUGCCAUGCAGGCCCCUCCAGCAUGGCAACUCAUGACAUGGCAACUUGUUUCAUCAGUGCCAGCAAAGGAGAAUGAGCGGUGGGUCCCACACUUGUGUGUGAACUAGGAUCACUUGGAGGAGCUAUUGAAACACAGCGUGCCAGGCUUCACACUCAAAGGUCUGAUUUUCAGUAGUCUUGGUGGGGCGCAAGAACACACAUUUCUAACAGGUUCCCAGCCGAGACAAGGACUGCACUUGAAGCGCUGCUGAAUUACAGGGACCGCCUCCCUGGGUUUCUGUUUCUUCAUUGUAUUUUAUCUGUUGAUGGGACACUCUUUAGAAUUCCCAGGUGAGACCACUGAUUUCAACCCUGGCCACACAUAGAAAUUAUUUGGAGUACUUUAAAAAAUAAUAUGCUUUGAGGCCCCAUUCAGAAUCUAUUGAAAAUGGGGUGGGGAUUUCUGGAAGUGUGCUUUUAUUUUUUUGUUACUAUUUUGUAUAUUGAAGUGCAUACAAUAAAAUGCACAAAUCUUA
Molecule: long non-coding RNA, 2022 nt
Organism: Manis javanica (Malayan pangolin)
Lineage: Eukaryota; Metazoa; Chordata; Mammalia; Pholidota; Manidae
Source: RefSeq, a predicted model, not a curated record